Molecule: transfer RNA, 94 nt
Filed under: Streptomyces coeruleorubidus
Lineage: Bacteria; Bacillati; Actinomycetota; Actinomycetes; Kitasatosporales; Streptomycetaceae
Description: tRNA-Asp
Source: RNAcentral
UCCUCACGGGGUGCCGGUUAACAGGCGCUCGGUCAGUGUCCUUGACUGACGCAAGCGAAUCCAGGGCACCCCGGGUGCGGAUCCCCGUGGGGUC